This 72-nucleotide transfer RNA is filed under the name Grandisonia larvata. RNAcentral's name for it is "tRNA-Ile". It matches the Rfam family "tRNA". Rfam says of the family: Transfer RNA (tRNA) molecules are approximately 80 nucleotides in length. Their secondary structure includes four short double-helical elements and three loops (D, anti-codon, and T loops). Lineage: Eukaryota; Metazoa; Chordata; Amphibia; Gymnophiona; Indotyphlidae. The record is from RNAcentral.
AGAUAUGUGCCUGAAAGCCUAAGGAUCACUUUGAUAGAGUGAAUUAUAAGAGUUCAAACCUCUUCAUAUCUC